Molecule: long non-coding RNA, 1738 nt
Filed under: Toxoplasma gondii VEG
Lineage: Eukaryota; Apicomplexa; Conoidasida; Eucoccidiorida; Sarcocystidae
Source: RNAcentral
CUUGAAAAAGACUACGGAGACACGCGAAACUGCGAUACCAUUCAACUCUCACAGACACGUGGAUUACACACCAAGGCUUGUACAAAGCAAUUCUUCUCGCUGCGCUCUUCUUCAAAGCACUUCACUUUGUGGACUGCGCAGGAACGCCAGCCUCAGGCCGUCGAACUCGCCUCGGCCGCGACCCUAGUUUUUGCUCGUCUCUCGCGGCUCUUGUGGUUUCUUUCGUUUUGCCAGUUGCUGACUCACCUGCCGGUUUGUGUGUGGUGUCCGAAGUGGUUUAAAGCUAGAUCCGAAGCACCCGUCUCCGCAGCGAAUUCCUGGGUUCCUUGAACACCGUCAGCCGCGCGUGGCUGUUUGCAGCGUUCGUUAGUCCCCCUGACGAGACGCGGGAUUGGUACAGCCUCGGUGGACGGGAACAGAGAACUUUGGCGUUUUUCUCAAAACAGAUGCUGCGUGUCUGCCUGAGUUAGUUAGAGGGAGUCACAUCUGCACAGCAGGAACAACGCGACUUGCAGAUCCUCGAAAUUUGUGGGCAAAUCUGAACAAAUACAGAGCAUUAAACGGCAUAUCUUUUCGACUGAAUUUAGAUUCGUCGAUCAUUUCAUCUGAAACCCAAUAUUUGUACAGAUCGCACGCAGAAAAAACGAUUUCGACCGAACGCCGCACAAGAAAUCUCACCUGUGCAUGGGGUUUCUAUUCUAGUCUCAUAAAGAAGCAAUUUUCACGAGGCACAAAGGUGGACACUUGUUUUUUUCCGUUUAUUUUAUUCCAGACAAGACGUUCAUGGAGAAAGCAUGAAGCGACGUUUCGUCCCAAGAGAGAGCCGGGUAGGUAGGUGCAAAUCACAUCGCUCUUGCGAUCACCCCUCGGAAGCAAUAAACGACAGCUUCAACUGUUAUUAUUGCUCCAGACGUUUUUGCUCAGAUCUCCCCCCUAUCCAGUACAAAAUGUCUCCCAGGUAGACAAUCAAACGCAUACGUUUCUUUUACCCAAAAUAAUUCAACGAAUGCCAGAAAUGGUGCUUGCAAUACACGCAGCGGCCUGGUCAACAACGACACACAGUCGCACGUCGUUGCUCUUUCGUUUCACAUGCUCAAAGCGUGAUCGGGGUGCUCAAAUGCCAGGAACGGCUUGCCUUCUUCUGAUGCCGUACAGCAGGCUCGCAAAAAAAGAUACCUGCGAAUGUAUCAAGUCCUCGUCAGUGAUAGGAACAAGAGUCAUCGUAAUGUUCGUCUUCUCCUGAGAGAUGUGGUUUACUUCUGAAAAGCAUUUACCUGUCUCCGCCGUGCGAGUCGAACGCUUGCUGAUCGGCUGAUCUGUGUCGAUUGCUGUAGGAUGGUCUGAGUUUUGAGCAAGUCGCUGCUUUUUGAUGCAGUGAGUGACGGGGCUCGCGCGCGCGAAGGCACCCAGAGAUGGCAACAGUGAACCUUGUGUUCCGCUCUCGCACACGUGUUCAGUCUGCAAAAAGCCGUCGUCUUGUUUGAGCAAAAAGAGAUCCGUUCCUCCAACGGAACACGAGCAGAAGCAACUAGUGACAUGCACCACAAAGUAGGCCAGAAUCACAUCGUUCGCGUUCAAUAAGAAGCCAGCUAAAAUGUACAAUGUGUAUAAUUUGCAACGUCGAUAGUGACUAUGCUCGACAAGAGGUCUCUCAAAAGCUGAAAGCAACUGUUCUGUUUGCAGCACCUGGCAAUGUAUUCGAGUUUGAGCAGGAUCCCCAGAGCCGGUCGAAGUUGGC